Long non-coding RNA from Pristis pectinata (smalltooth sawfish), 261 nucleotides. RefSeq lists it as uncharacterized. Lineage: Eukaryota; Metazoa; Chordata; Chondrichthyes; Rhinopristiformes; Pristidae. The transcript is spliced from 3 exons. The record is from RefSeq and is a predicted model, not a curated record.
AAAAAAGGGCAGACUUCCAAUGGGGUGAACAAAAUCGGAGAAGUAAAAAUACUUUGGUCUGUGGAAAAGCUUGGAUAUGGAAAGUCAUAAAGAAGUCCAUGAAGGAAAGAAGCAUUUUCACAAAAGAAGCCAACUGAGCACACUGCCCCAUUCGUCUUUUUGCUGACAACACCAGCCUGCAACCAGUCAAUCUUCUCUACACAGCUUAAGAAAAUGCCUAAGUAGCCACCUGGAGGCCACAAUGGAAUUUAUACAUUCGAC